CCUGCCCCACCCCUGGCAACCACUAUUCUGCUUUCUGUGUAUUUGACUCCUCUAGGCACCUCCUAUAAGUGGAAUCAUCCAAUAUUUGCUGCUGAUUAAUUUUAGACUCUUGCUCUGAUCAUAAUCUUAACCAGUCACUUGAAAAAACAAAUGAACUUUCUCAUACCAACACAACAUCGUUUGCAGUUUAAUUAACAGUGCUAGAAGCGAAAGGGGCUCUAAUUUUAAAACAAAAGCAGCCCCAAAUAAGCAAGAGGAGAUUUGCUCACACAGAGGGCCACAGCAGGUCACUGGAAGACAAGAAAUCCAGGCAAGCUGGAAUAAAAACCCUGCGAACUGGCUGCAGCUGCUUAAAGCCCUGCGUUCCUCAAGCUGUACCAGGCGGAGUUCAGCUGUGCCUGCCCCCUCACAAGGGCUGCCGGCUGCCCAGCACUGCCGCGGGACAUGGGCCAAGACACUGGGAAACGGCCCAAGCCAGGCUCUCACACACUGGCUCUGUGUGACCUUGAGCUCCUCAAAUGGCCCAUCUACUGACAGUUCUGGGUGUACUCUGAUGCUUUCGCAAAAAUGUUCCUAUAAAAGGGUUCCAUCUUCAAGGAAUUCAUGGAAAAGACUCUGACGAGGACAGGUUUCUGGUAGCUGACUAUACUGCUGAACUGAAUGAAUAAGCAUUUUCAGAACUCUAAUGGAAAACUGAUGAAUUUAUAAAAGUGCUAACAAAAGAUCAAGAUGAAAAAAAAUU
Long non-coding RNA from Aethalodelphis obliquidens (Pacific white-sided dolphin), 742 nucleotides. RefSeq lists it as uncharacterized. The record is from RefSeq and is a predicted model, not a curated record. Lineage: Eukaryota; Metazoa; Chordata; Mammalia; Artiodactyla; Delphinidae. The transcript has 3 exons.